CGCGGCCUAUCAGCUUGUUGGUGAGGUGACGGCUCACCAAGACGAUGACGGGUAGCCGGCCUGAGAGGGCGACCGGCCACACUGGGACUGAGACACGGCCCAGACUCCUACGGGAGGCAGCAGUGGGGAAUAUUGCACAAUGGGCGAAAGCCUGAUGCAGCGACGCCGCGUGGGGGAUGACGGCCUUCGGGUUGUAAACCCCUUUCAGUAGGGAAGAAGCGAGAGUGACGGUACCUGCAGAAGAAGCGCCGGCUAACUACGUGCCAGCAGCCGCGGUAAUACGUAGGGCGCAAGCGUUGUCCGGAAUUAUUGGGCGUAAAGAGCUUGUAGGUGGCUUGUCGCGUCUGCCGUGAAAACCCGAGGCUCAACCUCGGGCGUGCGGUGGGUACGGGCAGGCUAGAGUGUGGUAGGGGAGACUGGAACUCCUGGUGUAGCGGUGAAAUGCGCAGAUAUCAGGAAGAACACCGAUGGCGAAGGCAGGUCUCUGGGCCAUUACUGACACUGAGAAGCGAAAGCGUGGGGAGCAAACAGGCUUAGAUACCCUGGUAGUCCACGCCGUAAACGGUGGGCACUAGGUGUGGGACUCAUUCCACGAGUUCCGUGCCGUAGCUAACGCAUUAAGUGCCCCGCCUGGGGAGUACGG
This 643-nucleotide ribosomal RNA is filed under the name uncultured Actinomycetes bacterium. RNAcentral describes it as "bacterial SSU rRNA". It matches the Rfam family "Bacterial small subunit ribosomal RNA", at positions 232 to 885 of the family's 1533-position model. Lineage: Bacteria; Bacillati; Actinomycetota; Actinomycetes. The record is from RNAcentral.